RNAcentral lists this ribosomal RNA (479 nucleotides) under uncultured bacterium. Its description in RNAcentral is "bacterial SSU rRNA". It matches the Rfam family "Bacterial small subunit ribosomal RNA", at positions 28 to 490 of the family's 1533-position model. The record is from RNAcentral.
AAUCAACGCUGGCGGCGUGCCUAACACAUGCAAGUCGAACGCGACUGGGGCUUCGGCUCCAGUUGAGUGGCGAACGGGUGAGUAACACGUGGGUGACCUACCUUCGAAUGGGGGAUAACGUCCCGAAAGGGACGCUAAUACCGCAUAACAUCCUGCCUUUGAACGGGUGGAGAUCAAAGCCGGGGAUCGCAAGACCUGGCGUUUGAAGAGGGGCCCGCGUCCGAUUAGCUAGUUGGUGGGGUAACGGCNCACCAAGGCGACGAUCGGUAGCCGGCCUGAGAGGGCGGACGGCCACACUGGGACUGAGACACGGCCAGACUCCUACGGGAGGCAGCAGUGGGGAAUUGUUCGCAAUGGGCGCAAGCCUGACGACGCAACGCCGCGUGGAGGAUGAAGGUCUUCGGAUUGUAAACUCCUGUUGCCCGGGACGAAUAGCUCCGACCUAACACGUCGGAGUCUGACGGUACCGGGUGAGGAAG